GAUGAACGCUGGCGGCGUGCCUAAUACAUGCAAGUCGAGCGAACAGACGAGGAGCUUGCUCCUCUGACGUUAGCGGCGGACGGGUGAGUAACACGUGGAUAACCUACCUAUAAGACUGGGAUAACUUCGGGAAACCGGAGCUAAUACCGGAUCAUAUAUUGAACCGCAUGGUUCAAUAGUGAAAGACGGUUUUGCUGUCACUUAUAGAUGGAUCCGCGCCGCAUUAGCUAGUUGGUAAGGUAACGGCUUACCAAGGCAACGAUGCGUAGCCGACCUGAGAGGGUGAUCGGCCACACUGGAACUGAGACACGGUCCAGACUCCUACGGGAGGCAGCAGUAGGGAAUCUUCGGCAAUGGGCGAAAGCCUGACGGAGCAACGCCGCGUGAGUGAUGAAGGUCUUCGGAUCGUAAAACUCUGUUAUUAGGGAAGAACAAAUGUGUAAGUAACUAUGCACGUCUUGACGGUACCUAAUCAGAAAGCCACGGCUAACUACGUG
Molecule: ribosomal RNA, 497 nt
Filed under: uncultured bacterium
Lineage: Bacteria
Description: partial 16S ribosomal RNA
Rfam family: Bacterial small subunit ribosomal RNA
Source: RNAcentral